AGACUAGGUUAAACAAAAUUGGCACCUAGGUGAAAUAAAUCCCGCCCAAUAUUAAGGAGUCGUUUGGUUGCUUUGUUUCAUCUGGGUAAGGUUUGGUAACUUAGUGAAGCUAGGUGUUUGGUUGUCAAAUUGCAGCUUUGUAAAGCCCGUAUUUCAUAACUGAGGCCCGCACUGUACAUCAAAUUUUACCCAGUUUCGAAUCUACCUCAACACCCUCAGAUUGAGUUAGAUGGCCUUGAUUUGUGUGUCAGCUUAUACAAUUAAUUCCUUUUCUCCCUUGCACAUCUUAUCUCUUCCGCCUUUUCUCCCAAAUUUCAGCUCAGGAACCCUAGUGCAGUAGCUUUCAUAGAUCUUGAUCUCACUGCCUAAAAAUUCAGCGGUGCAAGGACGAAGCUAUAGCAUUGGCGCAAGCAGUGGUUCACUCUGAUGGGCAUAAUCUACGAAAAUAUCACACAUCGAUUGUGUAUGUUUAUCAUUGAUGGACCUCCGUUAUCUACCUCUACAGCCAUUUACCUUAUGGUAGAAGACAUAAUGAAUCUUUUCCAUAUGCAAACUAACAUAAUCUUGUAUUUUUAUUUGAGGCACGGUAGACGUAUGCGUAGACGUCAUAGGCGGCACUUGAUUAGGCAUCACUCUCUUAUAGAUCGGAUUCCACCACAAGUCCAGCAUAUGAACAAACUUGUAUCUGUUAGCAACAUUGACUGUUAAGUCAACCUUCGAAUGGAUAGGAAUACAUUCGGGAGAUUGUGUCUUCUUAUAAAGGAAGUGGGGGUUGCGAAAUGGUAGAUAUGUAUAUGUGGAGGAGCAGAUUGCCAUGUUCCUAAGGAUACUUGCACAUCACACAAAAAAUAGUAUAAUAGGUUUCAACUUCAAGCGGUCUGGUGAAACUAUAUCACACUAGGUGCACCUAGUUUUAAGAGCUAUUAUAAGGCUACACAGAAUUCUCUUACCUAAACUGGAACGUGUCACGGAUGAUAAUGGCGACACAAACUGGAAACAUUUUAAGGUACUUUGUUCAUUUUAAGAAUACUUUGUUUAUGUCAGAUUGAGUCCGGGUUAGACUUAAUUAUUUCUCUCCUUCCAAAACCUUGGUUUCUUGUCUUAUAAUGAUUCAUAGGGAUGUAUUGGAGCUUUAGACGGAACGUAUAUCAACGUUCUUGUCAAUAACGCUGAUAAGCCACGUUAUCGCAAUAGAAAAGGUCAAAUCGCAACUAAUACCCUUGCAGCUUGUGACCGCAAAAUGAGGCUUAUGUAUUUUUUACCUGGUUGGGAGGGCUCAGCCGGUGAUGCUAGGGUGCUUCGAGAUGCAGUGACUAGGGAAGAUGGUUUAAAGGUGCCAAAAGGAAAUCACUUUCUAUGUGACAAUGGAUAUGCAAACGCGGAAGGUUUUCUGACUCCAUUUAAAGGCAUUCAUUACCAUUUAAAGGAAUGGGGAGAAGGCACACAAAGACCACAGAAGAGUUGUUCAACCUAAGGCACAGUAAAGCACGUAACAUUAUCGAACGUGCUUUCGCUGUUCUCAAAAUGUGAUGGGGUGUGCUUCGGAGUGCUAGUUUUUACCCUAUAAAAACUCAGAUUAGGAUGAUCAUGGCACGUUUUCUCUUGCAUAAUUAUAUAUGAGGUGAAAUGACACACGAUCCAGUUGAAGAUGCACUUGAUAUUGAGACAAAUGGGGAGGCAGAUAACAAUGACUACGAUCACAUGGAAUUUGUCGAACAAGUUGAACCAAGCACUGAUUAGACUCAAAUGCGGGAAGACAUGGCACAGUCCAUGUGGUUGAAUCGAGGCAAUGUCCAUCAACUGAAAAGGGUGAACUAAUACCAGAAUGAACUUGUGGGCGUAGGAAAAUGAGGUUAUUAUGUGCAGGGAAAGAGGAAAAACACAGUGGCCGAUUUUUUUACAAAUGUCCGGCAGACAUGAAGCAUUCUGGAUCCUUUUUCUGGUGUGAUGACUUCCAUAGCCAAAAAAAUGGGGGCCGUAUACCAGAUUUUGUCUUGAAUUAGGGGUAUCGUCCAGAGAAAAAUGUUAGCAACAUGGUGACUUCCAAAAAUACAAGUGUGACUCCAAGUGAAGUAGGUUGUAGAUUAUGCAGUCAUUGUCGGGCCAAGGCAAAGAUGAACAUGGUUUUAGCUUUCAUUGGAGUAAUGCUGUUUAUUCUUGGGGUUAUUAUUGAGAACUUGCUUUAGGUUGUUGUCUCGAUAGGUUGUUGGCUUGGCUAGAGCAUUACUGAAGAACCUAUCUAUCUAUGUAUUUGCUGUCAAAUAGGUCUCUUUUGUAAACACUUUUGUAGUUAAGUGUCGGAUUUGAUGUUAUAGACCCAUUUUGGUUGGUUGUAUUUGUAUGUUUUUCUUGAAA
Salvia splendens (bonfire salvia) is the source of this 2355-nucleotide long non-coding RNA. RefSeq lists it as uncharacterized. The record is from RefSeq and is a predicted model, not a curated record. The transcript is spliced from 4 exons. Lineage: Eukaryota; Viridiplantae; Streptophyta; Magnoliopsida; Lamiales; Lamiaceae.